AAUAAUUUAACGUACCAGAUUUUUUAUACGACUCUUCGUCUUAUUUAAAAAAAAUUUACGAUUAAUAUUUUUAUCCUUACUAGAUGAUAAAACAUGAAUAUUACUUUAUGCGUGAUUAUUUUUUAAAUUUUUUGUACAAAUUUUUUAAAUAAGACAAAUGGUCAGACGUUGGACAAGGAAAA
Molecule: microRNA precursor, 182 nt
Filed under: Oryza brachyantha (malo sina)
Lineage: Eukaryota; Viridiplantae; Streptophyta; Magnoliopsida; Poales; Poaceae
Description: MIR812 microRNA precursor family
Rfam family: MIR812 microRNA precursor family
Source: Rfam by way of RNAcentral